RNAcentral lists this ribosomal RNA (487 nucleotides) under uncultured Deinococcus sp. RNAcentral describes it as "bacterial SSU rRNA". It matches the Rfam family "Bacterial small subunit ribosomal RNA", at positions 8 to 507 of the family's 1533-position model. Lineage: Bacteria; Thermotogati; Deinococcota; Deinococci; Deinococcales; Deinococcaceae. The record is from RNAcentral.
AGAGUUUGAUCCUGGCUCAGGGUGAACGCUGGCGGCGUGCUUAAGACAUGCAAGUCGAACGGACUCCCCUCGGGGAGUCAGUGGCGCACGGGUGAGUAACACGUAACUGACCUGCCCCAAAGUUCCGAAUAACCCUCCGAAAGGAGGGCUAAGACGGAAUGUGCUGUCCCCUCGUGUGGGGCCAGUAAAGGCUGUGACCGCUUUGGGAUGGGGUUGCGUUCCAUCAGCUUGUUGGUGAGGUAAAGGCUUACCAAGGCGACGACGGAUAGCCGGCCUGAGAGGGUGGCCGGCCACAGGGGCACUGAGACACGGGUCCCACUCCUACGGGAGGCAGCAGUUAGGAAUCUUCCACAAUGGGCGAAAGCCUGAUGGAGCGACGCCGCGUGAGGGAUGAAGGUUUUCGGAUCGUAAACCUCUGAAUCAGAGACGAAAGGCCCCGACAAGGGGAGAUGACGGUAUCUGAGUAAUAGCACCGGCUAACUCCGUG